GGGUUUUGUAAUUUUUUAUCCACUAACAUGUUAGAUUCUACUGAUUCUUUGUCUAUGUUAGGGUUUAAUUUCCCAUUAGUAAUAAGGUUGUUUGCGUACUUCCCUUCUACUAGAGUUGGCAUGUGUUUGACUUCUUCAAUAAAUUCUUUCAUCUAGAAAAGAAAGGAGUCCUCUUGCAACGGGUCUGGACCUUAUUUGCCCAUCAUGAGGGUUGAUUGGAAGUGGGCUAUUUCCAUUUUACACAGGAAAAGAAUGACUUUUUUGACACAAAAGUGUUGAAAUUAAAAGCAAUAUGGGUUUGAUCUUGAAGUUCUAGU
This 317-nucleotide unclassified non-coding RNA is filed under the name Hevea brasiliensis (rubber tree). Lineage: Eukaryota; Viridiplantae; Streptophyta; Magnoliopsida; Malpighiales; Euphorbiaceae. The record is from RNAcentral.